Molecule: transfer RNA, 85 nt
Filed under: Spirulina sp. DLM2.Bin59
Lineage: Bacteria; Bacillati; Cyanobacteriota; Cyanophyceae; Spirulinales; Spirulinaceae
Also listed under: 2 other names
Description: tRNA-Leu
Rfam family: tRNA
About the family: Transfer RNA (tRNA) molecules are approximately 80 nucleotides in length. Their secondary structure includes four short double-helical elements and three loops (D, anti-codon, and T loops).
Source: RNAcentral
GGGGGCGUGGCGGAAUGGUAGACGCUGCGGACUUAAAAUCCGUUGAGAUUAAUCCCUCGUGUGGGUUCAAGUCCCACCGCCCCCA